This is a long non-coding RNA of Tetranychus urticae (two-spotted spider mite), 1661 nucleotides long. RefSeq lists it as uncharacterized. NCBI's taxonomy places the organism in Eukaryota, Metazoa, Arthropoda, Arachnida, Trombidiformes, Tetranychidae. The record is from RefSeq and is a predicted model, not a curated record.
UUAAUAAACCGUAACUUGUUAACAAGCAUGAUUUAGUGAACUUGAGUUGAUGAUUAUUUAAUGAUUGAUUUUACAACAUAACAUUUCAAGUUUAAUAAGAUUUAUUUAUGUGAACAAACUUAAUUACCUAUUCAAUAAAAUUGGAAUCGGAAUAUUAAAGAUGGUUUUCAAUGAUUACAAAGUAACCAGGAUUAGAUUGACAUAGGCAAUGACUAUGUUACCAGUUGAUCGAGAUAUAAUUAUAAGACAUGGUCUACUUCAUUUUUUUCGAACCUCAAUCUUGUUUUUCAAUUAUUUAAAGACUUAAAGACGGAAUUCUUGUAGAUUAAUUGAAUGGUGAUUAAAGCAAAGUUUAAAGAUGCUCCAAUGAUUAUCUGACAAAGAAACAAACAAAGGUUAUAAAGAAAGUGAGAGAGGUCAGUAUGAAGCUCAAACAAGACGAAGAUAAUAGAUUAUCAAAACAACUUUGCAACCUUGACUCGAUUCUAAAGGGAAAAAGGUACUUGACCUUGUGCCUAUCUUAACCUGAACCCAAAGAUCCAAAGAUUUUGGUGUUAUUAUUGGGAAUUUAAAGAUCAAAAACAAAUCAGGUUACCUCACUAAAGACCAAUUAUUUUAUAAGCAAGGUCAAUCUUUUAUAACGACUUCUCAGGAAUUCAAGGAGGACUAAAGACAACUGUGUGCUGCUGACAAAAGGAUGAAUUUAAAAAGCCAAAGAUGCAGCUUAUAAAAUGGACCAAUUUGAUUUUGAAAAAAGAGUUUCCAAAACAAUAACGACAACAUAAUUCACAGCUUAUUACCACAAUGACACCUAAGUGUAUAGUUUCUUGGUGAUAUUAUGCUUUAGAGGAAACUCUAAACGUCCAUUGUUGAGUUAAUUGCUGUAAUGAUAAAACAAUAAGCUCAAAUUAGUCAAAGUCAAAGUUGAUAUUGCAUAUCAUUUUAAAUUUAAAAUUUUAAAAACAGAAGCGUUGGUAGCUAUUGACAUGCAAAUUAGUUCAAUCUGUUCACUUGCUUCCAAGGGUGGUGGGAUGAUGAGCUUGUUAUUAAUGAGGAUGAUAUGAAUGGUGAUAAAUACUCAACAGUGAAACGACCGAAUCUCAAAGUGGAAACAAAAAGAAAAUCGUUAUAAAGAGAAAGAAAGAGAACAAGAUUGACAUUGAAACUAAUACAAACUGGACUCUUAUUAGUUAUAUUUAUACGUGAGCGGCUGUAAUCUCAAGGUUAUCAUCUUCAUCAUCAUCAUCAUCAUCACUUGUAUCAUUAUUAUCAUCACAAUUAUGAUGAUCAACAUCGCCAACGAUUUUAUUUUCAAGAUGUUAAUCAGCACUUUAUUGUGUGUGUUUAUCCUUUCACACCUUACAUUCAUUCUGGUGUAAUUUGAUGAACCAGUGAACAAUAACCAAUGGUAGGAACCAUUUAAAUAUUGUCAAGAUUAGAGAAUCAAAGAAAAUCCAAAGAAAGAGGAAAAAGAAAGUCAGAGUGGGGUUCGGAAGUGGGUUGCGGAAGGAAGUUUUGGGGUCAAUUGGUUGGCUUUGCUGUUGUCAAACUGGGUUUUAAUACGAGUAGGCAAUGUUGUAAGGAUUGGAUCCAUGUGAUGACAUAGUGAACCAGGUUUGUGGAGCUCCAUUGAAGUAGUUGGUUGCUGGUUGUGGUGCAGC